RNAcentral lists this ribosomal RNA (497 nucleotides) under uncultured bacterium. Its description in RNAcentral is "partial 16S ribosomal RNA". It matches the Rfam family "Bacterial small subunit ribosomal RNA", at positions 28 to 507 of the family's 1533-position model. The record is from RNAcentral.
GAUGAACGCUGGCGGCGUGCCUAAUACAUGCAAGUCGAGCGAACAGACGAGGAGCUUGCUCCUUCGACGUUAGCGGCGGACGGGUGAGUAACACGUAGGUAACCUACCUAUAAGACUGGGAUAACUUCGGGAAACCGGAGCUAAUACCGGAUAAUAUUUCGAACCGCAUGGUUCGAUAGUGAAAGAUGGCUUUGCUAUCACUUAUAGAUGGACCUGCGCCGUAUUAGCUAGUUGGUAAGGUAACGGCUUACCAAGGCAACGAUACGUAGCCGACCUGAGAGGGUGAUCGGUCACACUGGAACUGAGACACGGUCCAGACUCCUACGGGAGGCAGCAGUAGGGAACCUUCCGCAAUGGGCGAAAGCCUGACGGAGCAACGCCGCGUGAGUGAUGAAGGUCUUCGGAUCGUAAAACUCUGUUAUUAGGGAAGAACAAACGUGUAAGUAACUGUGCACGUCUUGACGGUACCUAAUCAGAAAGCCACGGCUAACUACGUG